GUAGGUCCAGGUGACUGGGACACGGGAGGGCUCCAGACAGCCGCUAUUUGCCACACGGAACCAAAGCAUUUCACUGUUUUAACAAGCGGUUCAGCUGGUCCGGAGUAUCCCUGCUGGCUCUCAGCCCUAAAGUGGCGUGAGGGCUGGGCACGUCGACAGCACUUGAUCCGCUCCUUCCCUCUGGAAAUGCAUUUCCUUCCAUUACCAGAACAGCCUCUCACAGUUUGGCCUGCCUCUUCUCAUGCUAUGUCGAAACAAAGCCACCUGCCUCCCAUGAAAGACGGCAUUGUUUUUCCACCUGAGCCACCCACACCUGGGCAGGUAGAACAGCGGGUCCCCACUCCAGGGAGCUCUCCCACUCGGGCCUGUCAUGGCUCACACCCCGAGCAGCUGCUGUGCUUGCCCUGUGUGGAGGGUAGCAGGGUGCCUCCUGGGCAGCAGAAUGGUGGGGUGCACUGGAUAACGAGACAGUGGGUGUGGCUCCCAUGAAAUAAACAACCCCUGGGCAUUGCACAUUCAGGCACAGUGCUGCAGUUUUCUUAAAGAUGUAAUUAUCUCUGGGAAAGCUACUCUCCUCAGAGCUCACCGACCCUUGGGGGAUAAAAUGUUGACAAAGGAAGAAAUGUAUGAGAUUUUGUUUUGUUUUGUUUUUCUUUAGACAAUUGAGCCACCCACAAUCACAGUUAUGUAAAAGUCUCACUCCUGUAAUCCCAGCACUUUGGGAGGCUGAGGCGGGUGGAUCACUUGAGGUCAGGAGUUCCAGGCCAGCCUGGCCAACGUGGAGAAACCCCGUCUCUGCUAAAAAUACAAAAAUUAGCCAGGCGUGGUGGUGCAUGCCUGUAGUCCCAGCUACUUGGGAGGCUGAGACACAAGAAUGGCUUGAACCGGGGAGGCAGAGGUCGCAGUGAGCUGAGCUCGCACCACUGCACUCCAGCCUGGGCGACAGAGAGAGACUCUGUCUCAAAAAACAAACAAACAAAACAAAAAAACACACUUCCAUAAAAGCAAAUUCUCAUAACUGAAGUCUCCAGGAAAAGAGCAAAGACCAGAACCCCGAGCAUACGAGUGAGGGUCAGGUGCAGGCCCUCAGGGUGGGGUCUAGGGGCACUAAACCCAGGCUGCUUCCACUGCUGGCUGCUUCAAGGGCUGGUGUUGCUAGGGGUGUGGCCCUGUCUUUAAAAUGCCUGUUAAGACAUAGAUUACCUGGGCAGAGCCUUUGAGAUGAGUUUUUAAAUUUAGUGGAGUGCCUCAUCUGAGACCUUCAGGCAAGAGUGGAGCACAGAGGAAAGGGGUGUCUUUCUCAAGAGAGAAGCAAACUGCGGGUCAAAGUGCACCACCAGCCACCAACAGCUAGCUUCCGGAUCAAGUAGGAUGGAAAUGGUUUAUUCCUCCAAAGACUCUUAAAAGAGCAGCCCCUGCUGCAGAAUAGAAAGAGGCUCCAGAGGAGCAGUGAGCUCGAGGAACCCCCCUGAAGAUCCCCAGUUUCUGUAUGCAGCUGCAUCAGGCCCAGACAAAUUCUUCCAUCUGGAGCGUGUCCCCGCAGAUCUUCCCAGCCGCGGCUGUGGUCCGCGUUAUCUCAGGCUGUCAGGUCUCAGAAAUUAGAAACCAUCUCAUUUCAUCAGGGUCAUCCCACACCGUCUGCCACCAUAGAUGGAGAGGAUUUCAAGUGAUGUUUUCUGAAGAUGGUUCUGUUGUCCCGGGAGAGCCCUUGGCGGACAUGGUAGUGCCAGUCAGAGCCCUUGACGCUGUGCAGCCAGGUGGCUUAUUGUCCCAGUGACUUUCCAACCAGAUACUCUCAGUCAGAGUGAAGGGCUCCACUUAGAAACUCCCUUUCCCAUUAACUCGUCAGAGUUAUGCCAUUCCUCUUUAUUCUUUUUAAAAUAUUUAUACUCAAAGAAAUUGUAUGGGGAGUGAGCACACACCAAUCAUAUAACUGUCAAAUGAAAGCCUUUCCUUAAAUGUUCAAGGGCGCCGGAGGAAUAAAUUUGGAGUCAUGCAGAUCUUGUUUCACGAGUGUGUACAUGUGUAUGAAACUUUAUGUGGGUGGAAAACCAACAAGAGAAAAAAGAGAGCAGAAACUGUUGUGUGAUUGCGUUUUCCUGCCCGAGACAUCCUGUGCUCUGCAUCUGAUAACCUGCCACCAACAGGGCUCCACCACAUUGCCCAGGCUGGUCUCAAAGUCCUAGGCUCAUGCGAUCCUCCCACCUCAACCUCCCAAAGUGCUGGAACUACAGGUGUCAGCCACAGCCCCCUGUGAGGAUGCUUAAUCACUCGAGGACGGUAUAAAGGUACAGAAGAACAGCGAGCCACAGGUGGGCCUCAUCCCAUCAGCUGAAGGCCUUACAGGAACAAAGAUUGACCUCCCAGUAUAAGAAGUAAUCUGCCAGCAGGCUGCCUUUGGACUCCAACUGCAACUCUUCCCUGGGUUUCCAGCCUGCCAGCCUACCCUGCAGACUUUGGACUUGCACCUCCACAACCAUACGUUUCCAAAAUCUGGAGAGCGGCUGUGAGUUUGCAGUGCAGUAUGGGGAGAGACCAGAACCCACCGGAAGCCUCCAGGUGCUGCAGUGAGGAGGAGCUGGAACCCUUCUCCUCCAGGUGCCAGCUCGCGCUGCUGUGGUUCUCAUCUGUAGAGGACGUGGACCAUCCAGGGAAUCACCUGCAGCUGACAGAGGAAACUCUGAAGCCCACCAGGCCUGUACAGACUGGGGAAACACCAGUGCCUGAGGAUAGUGGCUAAACUGCCAGAGAACAUGGGGCUGAGGUGGAGCCUGGAUGACUCUUCUGCCUCUGAGCAAAGCUGCUUGCCCUACACACAACAGUAUUGUCUUAACAUCUGCUGAGUUCCCAGGUCCUCUUAGCAGCAGGCAGAGGCAUUCAGAGCCCAGACCCCAAAGACAUGCUGAUCUGGUUUAAACCUGACUGUGCUACUCAUCAACUGGGGGACCUAGGCAGGUUACAUUGUCUUUUUGUGCCUCAGUUUCCUCAUCUAUAGAAUAGAGGUAUUCUAGUUUCCUGUGAUUUCUGUAAUAAAUUUACAAACUUUGUAACAAAUUACCACAAAUUUGGUGGCUUCAAACGAUAGAAAUUUAUUCUCUCACAAACCUGGAGACCAAAAGUCUAAAGUCUCUAUCAUUGGACUGAAAUAAAAGUGCAGGUGGGGCCAGACACAGUGGCUCACACUUGUAAUCCCAGCACUUCGGGAGGCCAAGGCGGGCGGAUCAUGAGGUUAGGAGUUUGAGACAAGCCUGGCCAAUAUGGUGAAACCCCGUCUCUACUAAAAAUACAAAAUUAGCCAGGCGUGGUGGUGCAUGCCUGUAAUCCCAGCUACUUGGGAGGCUGAGGCAGGUGUAUCUCUUGAAACCAGGAGGCGGAGGUUGCGGUGAGCCAAAAUCAUGCCAUUGCAC
RNAcentral lists this long non-coding RNA (3407 nucleotides) under Homo sapiens (human). RNAcentral describes it as "HSALNT0079507". The record is from RNAcentral. Lineage: Eukaryota; Metazoa; Chordata; Mammalia; Primates; Hominidae.